Molecule: ribosomal RNA, 913 nt
Filed under: uncultured bacterium
Lineage: Bacteria
Description: bacterial SSU rRNA
Rfam family: Bacterial small subunit ribosomal RNA
Source: RNAcentral
AGAGUUUGAUCCUGGCUCAGAUUGAACGCUGGCGGCAGGCCUAACACAUGCAAGUCGAGCGGAUGAGGGGUGCUUGCACCCCGAUUCAGCGGCGGACGGGUGAGUAAUGCCUAGGAAUCUGCCCGAUAGUGGGGGACAACGUUUCGAAAGGAACGCUAAUACCGCAUACGUCCUACGGGAGAAAGUGGGGGCUCUUCGGACCUCACGCUAUCGGAUGAGCCUAGGUCGGAUUAGCUAGUUGGUGGGGUAAAGGCCCACCAAGGCGACGAUCCGUAACUGGUCUGAGAGGAUGAUCAGUCACACUGGAACUGAGACACGGUCCAGACUCCUACGGGAGGCAGCAGUGGGGAAUAUUGGACAAUGGGCGAAAGCCUGAUCCAGCCAUGCCGCGUGUGUGAAGAAGGUCUUCGGAUUGUAAAGCACUUUAAGUCGGGAGGAAGGGCUGUAGGUUAAUACCCUGCGGUUUUGACGUUACCGACAGAAUAAGCACCGGCUAACUUCGUGCCAGCAGCCGCGGUAAUACGAAGGGUGCAAGCGUUAAUCGGAAUUACUGGGCGUAAAGCGCGCGUAGGUGGUUUGGUAAGUUGGAUGUGAAAGCCCCGGGUUCAACCUGGGAACUGCAUCCAAAACUGCCUGACUAGAGUACGGUAGAGGGUGGUGGAAUUUCCUGUGUAGCGGUGAAAUGCGUAGAUAUAGGAAGGAACACCAGUGGCGAAGGCGACCACCUGGACUGAUACUGACACUGAGGUGCGAAAGCGUGGGGAGCAAACAGGAUUAGAUACCCUGGUAGUCCACGCCGUAAACGAUGUCGACUAGCCGUUGGGCUCCUUGAGAGCUUAGUGGCGCAGCUAACGCAUUAAGUCGACCGCCUGGGGAGUACGGCCGCAAGGUUAAAACUCAAAUGAAUUGACGG